This 159-nucleotide ribosomal RNA is filed under the name uncultured bacterium. Its description in RNAcentral is "partial 16S ribosomal RNA". It matches the Rfam family "Bacterial small subunit ribosomal RNA", at positions 216 to 375 of the family's 1533-position model. The record is from RNAcentral.
CAUUUCUUGUGGCCCCCCACCCCCAAUAUCUAUUCUGUGGUUUAAUGGCUCACCAAGGCGACAAUCCGUAACUGGUCUGAAAGGAUGAUCACUCACACUGGAACUGAACACGGUCCAAACUCCUACGGGAGGCAGCANUGGGGAAUAUUGGACAAUGGG